ACCCGCUGAACUUAAGCAUAUCAAUAAGCGGAGGAAAAGAAACUAACAAGGAUUCCCCUAGUAACGGCGAGUGAAGCGGGAAGAGCUCAAAUUUAAAAUCUGGCGGUCUUCGGCCGUCCGAGUUGUAGCCUAGAGAAGCGUUUUCCGCGGCGGACCAUGUACAAGUCUCUUGGAACAGAGCGUCAUAGAGGGUGAGAAUCCCGUCCUUGACAUGGACCCCCGUCGCUCUGCGAUGCGCUCUCGAAGAGUCGAGUUGUUUGGGAAUGCAGCUCAAAAUGGGUGGUAAAUUCCAUCUAAAGCUAAAUAUUGGCGAGAGACCGAUAGCGAACAAGUACCGUGAGGGAAAGAUGAAAAGCACUUUGGAAAGAGAGUCAAACAGUACGUGAAAUUGUUAAAAGGGAAACGAUCAAAGUCAGUCGCGUCUGCCGGAACUCAGCCUCGCCCUCGCGCGUGGUGCAUUUUCCGGUCCGACGGGCCAGCGUCGAUUUUGACCGGCGGAGAAGGGUGGGGGGAACGUGGCUCCUCUCGGAGCGUUAUAGCCCCUCGCCGCAAACGUCGGUCGGGAUCGAGCCCUCUCGCACGGCACGCCCCCAGGUGGUGCCCGCGCUGGCGUAAUGGCUUUGACCGACCCGUCUUGAAACACGG
This 645-nucleotide ribosomal RNA is filed under the name uncultured fungus. Its description in RNAcentral is "eukaryotic LSU rRNA". It matches the Rfam family "Eukaryotic large subunit ribosomal RNA", at positions 23 to 664 of the family's 3401-position model. The record is from RNAcentral. Lineage: Eukaryota; Fungi.